This 82-nucleotide transfer RNA is filed under the name candidate division Zixibacteria bacterium SM1_73. RNAcentral describes it as "tRNA-Leu". It matches the Rfam family "tRNA". Rfam says of the family: Transfer RNA (tRNA) molecules are approximately 80 nucleotides in length. Their secondary structure includes four short double-helical elements and three loops (D, anti-codon, and T loops). Lineage: Bacteria; Pseudomonadati; Candidatus Zixiibacteriota. The record is from RNAcentral. RNAcentral also lists the same sequence under 1 other name.
GCGGAAGUGGUGGAAUUGGUAGACACGCCAUCUUGAGGGGGUGGUGACGAGAGUCGUGCGGGUUCGAGUCCCGCCUUCCGCA